GACGAACGCUGGCGGCGUGCUUAACACGUGCAAGUCGAACGGUAAGGCCCUUCGGGGUACACGAGUGGCGAACGGGUGAGUAACACGUGGGUGAUCUGCCCUGCACUUCGGGAUAAGCCUGGGAAACUGGGUCUAAUACCGGAUAGGACCCUGGGAUGCAUGUCCUGGGGUGGAAAGCUUUUGCGGUGUGGGAUGGGCCCGCGGCCUAUCAGCUUGUUGGUGGGGUGAUGGCCUACCAAGGCGACGACGGGUAGCCGGCCUGAGAGGGUGACCGGCCAAACUGGGACUGAGAUACGGCCCAGACUCCUACGGGAGGCAGCAGUGGGGAAUAUUGCACAAUGGGCGCAAGCCUGAUGCAGCGACGCCGCGUGAGGGAUGACGGCCUUCGGGUUGUAAACCUCUUUCAGCACCGACGAAGCGCAAGUGACGGUAGGUGCAGAAGAAGGACCGGCCAACUACGUGCCAGCAGCCGCGGUAA
Molecule: ribosomal RNA, 478 nt
Filed under: uncultured bacterium
Lineage: Bacteria
Description: partial 16S ribosomal RNA
Rfam family: Bacterial small subunit ribosomal RNA
Source: RNAcentral